AAAGAGUCUUUUCAGCAAGUGGUGCUGGGAAAACUGGACAGCGACUUGCAGAAAAUUAACCUGGCCCACUUUCUUGCACCAUACACAAAAAGAAACAAAAUGGAUGAAAGACCUCAAUGUAACACAGGAAGCCAUCAAAAUCCUCCAUGAGAAAGGAGGCAAAAAUCUCUUUAAUCUUGGCCACAGCAACUUCUUACUCAACACAUUUCUAGGGGCAAGGGAAACAAAUGCAAAAAUGAACUACUGGGACCUCAUCAAAGUAAAAACCUUCUGCACAGCGAA
This is a long non-coding RNA of Leopardus geoffroyi (Geoffroy's cat), 282 nucleotides long. RefSeq lists it as uncharacterized. The record is from RefSeq and is a predicted model, not a curated record. The transcript has 3 exons. NCBI's taxonomy places the organism in Eukaryota, Metazoa, Chordata, Mammalia, Carnivora, Felidae.